AAUUGAAUUUAGAUCCAUCCUUCGGUCCAUAAAAAAUACUCCACCCACCCAUCAAAUUUGUAUGAGAGAGAAUAUGAAAGAAAAAUGUUUGAAAAGAUGUAGUGUGGAACCGAGUAAAAGUCAAAUUACCUUAUUAAUUAUUUCUUCGAAAAUGUGACUAAAAAAUUUUUCAUUCUGCCUAGUACUAGGGAACAUGUUUCGGCUAAAAUUAUGAUUGGCAAUUGU
Non-coding RNA from Caenorhabditis elegans, 225 nucleotides. Lineage: Eukaryota; Metazoa; Nematoda; Chromadorea; Rhabditida; Rhabditidae. The record is from Ensembl.